GGGGUAGUGGCUCAAUGGUAGAGUGCUUGCCUAGCACAUAUGAGGCACUGGGUUCAAUUCUCAGCACCACA
Molecule: transfer RNA, 71 nt
Filed under: Marmota monax (woodchuck)
Lineage: Eukaryota; Metazoa; Chordata; Mammalia; Rodentia; Sciuridae
Description: tRNA.Ala
Rfam family: tRNA
About the family: Transfer RNA (tRNA) molecules are approximately 80 nucleotides in length. Their secondary structure includes four short double-helical elements and three loops (D, anti-codon, and T loops). Further hydrogen bonds mediate the characteristic L-shaped molecular structure. tRNAs have two regions of fundamental functional importance: the anti-codon, which is responsible for specific mRNA codon recognition, and the 3' end, to which the tRNAs corresponding amino acid is attached (by aminoacyl-tRNA synthetases). tRNAs cope with the degeneracy of the genetic code in two manners: having more than one tRNA (with a specific anti-codon) for a particular amino acid; and 'wobble' base-pairing, i.e. permitting non-standard base-pairing at the 3rd anti-codon position.
Source: RNAcentral